GAUGAACGCUAGCUACAGGCUUAACACAUGCAAGUCGAGGGGAAACGACAUCGAAAGCUUGCUUUUGAUGGGCGUCGACCGGCGCACGGGUGAGUAACGCGUAUCCAACCUGCCCGCCACUUGGGGAUAACCUUGCGAAAGUAAGACUAAUACCCAAUGAUAUCUCUAGAAGACGUCUGAAAGAGAUUAAAGAUUUAUCGGUGAUGGAUGGGGAUGCGUCUGAUUAGCUUGUUGGCGGGGUAACGGCCCACCAAGGCUACGAUCAGUAGGGGUUCUGAGAGGAAGGUCCCCCACAUUGGAACUGAGACACGGUCCAAACUCCUACGGGAGGCAGCAGUGAGGAAUAUUGGUCAAUGGGCGAGAGCCUGAACCAGCCAAGUAGCGUGCAGGAUGACGGCCCUAUGGGUUGUAACUGCUUUUAUAAGGGAAUAAAGUGAGCCUCGUGAGGCUUUUUGCAUGUACCUUAUGAAUAAGGACCGGCUAAUUCCGUGCCAGCCGCCGCGGUAA
RNAcentral lists this ribosomal RNA (507 nucleotides) under uncultured bacterium. Its description in RNAcentral is "partial 16S ribosomal RNA". It matches the Rfam family "Bacterial small subunit ribosomal RNA", at positions 28 to 523 of the family's 1533-position model. The record is from RNAcentral.